Molecule: transfer RNA, 85 nt
Filed under: Felis catus (domestic cat)
Lineage: Eukaryota; Metazoa; Chordata; Mammalia; Carnivora; Felidae
Rfam family: tRNA
About the family: Transfer RNA (tRNA) molecules are approximately 80 nucleotides in length. Their secondary structure includes four short double-helical elements and three loops (D, anti-codon, and T loops).
Source: Rfam by way of RNAcentral
GCCUGAGUGGCUCAGUCGGUUAAGCGUCUGACUUUGGCUCAGGUCAUGAUCUCACAGUUCGUGGGUUUGAGCCCUGUGUCAGGCU